RNAcentral lists this ribosomal RNA (3466 nucleotides) under Ambystoma mexicanum (axolotl). Its description in RNAcentral is "eukaryotic LSU rRNA". It matches the Rfam family "Eukaryotic large subunit ribosomal RNA", at positions 489 to 3401 of the family's 3401-position model. Lineage: Eukaryota; Metazoa; Chordata; Amphibia; Caudata; Ambystomatidae. The record is from RNAcentral.
UGGUGUACUUUCUGAUCUCUUGCUCUGAGACCAUGUGAACGACUAAACUGUGCACUGAUGAAUAUGUGUGCGUAAUCUGGACAUAUACAUGCUGGGGUAUUUGAAUAAGUGCCAGGACCUCCAUUUCUUUCAUCCCCCAAAAAGUUCAGACUCUGAUCAGCAGCAUUACAGAAUCCCUGGACCCGGCACAAAGGCUUGUUGCUAGCACAUCCUGGCCUUCACACUUUCCCACCUGGUAGUAUUCAGGAGGGCUAGGUGCCCUGCAUGCCUCGGUUUGUGGUGGGGAUGGUGGCACUGGCCUAAUAACCUGACUCACCUUCCCUUCCCCCAUUCCAGCUGGCUGCAUUAUGUGUGGCUGUCUGUGGUGAGAGCAAGGCAACUUUUCCCCAGGCAGGCUUCUGUACAGAGUGGGACAGUACACAAUUGACCUCAACUGAGCCCUCCUUUGGCAAACAUUGCAUCCCCUUUCAGUGGUCGCUGAGGCAGUGACAGGACACAGGGUCCCCUGCUCCUGAUGCGACUGUCGACUGGGGAUGACUGUAACCAGUGCACCCUGACCCGAUUGCGUUUCGCCACCAGGCGGGGAGUCCCACAAAUGGCACCAGGGGUCUGAGGUGAUUUUGUUUGCCCACCGACUCAUCUUGAAACAUGGACAAAGGAGUCUAACAUGUGCGCGAGUCAGUGGAGUAAUGAAGGUGAGGACAGGCAAAUGCUGGCUGAGGUGGGAUCCUGUUGCAGUAUCUUGGCAGGCCCACCACCGGCCUUUCUCGCCCGCGCUUUCAGGGGAGGUGGUUAAUGAGCAUAUGUGAUAGCACCCGAAAGAUGGAGAAGAAUUUUUGGGCAGGAUGGAACCAGAGGAAACGCUGGUGGAGGUCCAUAGCGGUCCUUAUUUGCAAAUCGGUCACCCGAACGGGGUAUAUCGGCAACAGGCUAAUUGAAGCAUAUAGUAGCUGGUUCCAUCUGAAGUUUCCCUCAGGAUAGUUGGCACUAGGAAACCUCAGUUUUAUCUAGUAAAGUGAAUGAUUAGAGGUCUUUGGGCUAAAACAAUCUCAACCUAUUAUCAAACUUUAAAAGGGUGAGAAGCCUGGCUCACUGGCAUGGAGCAGGGCAUCGAAUGUGAGUGCCCAUUGGGCCACUUUUGGUAAGUAGAACUAAUGCUGCGGGAGGAAUGGAAUGCCGGAUUAAGGCACCCAAUGUCAAUGCUUAUCAGAUCACAGAAAAGUUGUUGGUUGAUACAGACAGCAGGACGGUGGCUAUGGAAGUUGGAAUCCAAUGAGGCAUUUGUAACAACUCACCAGCUGAAUCAACUAGCCCUGAAGAUGAAUGGUGCUGGAGUGUCGGGCCCAUACUCGUCGUCAACGUCACUGAGAGCUGUGUAGCCUAAGCCAAAAAAAUAGGAAGGCUGCUGCAGUGCACAUGGAAGGUACAGAUCUUGGUGGUAGUAAAAAAUAUUCAAACAAGAACUUUGAACACCAAAGUGGAGCAGGGUUCCAUGUGAACAGCAGUUGAACAUGGGUCAGUUGGGUCGAAGAGAUGGGUGAGUGCAAUUCGGAAGGGAUGGGUGAUGGCCUCUGUUGCCCUCUGCUAAUAGAAAGGGAUUUGGAGUAGCUUAGACGGUCACUGCACAACAUCCAGUGCAAUAACGCAAACAAUCUGGUAGAAGCCGGUGGGAACGCAGAGGAGAGUUGUCUCUUCUGUGUGAAUGGCAUGACACCCUGGAAUGGAUUUGCCCCAAGAGAGGGGCCAGAGCUUUGUAAUGCAUUGCGGUUCCGGCAGCACCCAGUGAAAUCUCAUUUGUCCUUGAAAAUCCAGAGGUGAUGGUGUAAAUCUCUCACCGAGCCGUACCCAAAUCCACAGGUUUCCAAAUUGAACAGCCUCUGGCAUUUUGUAACAAUGUAGGUAAGCGAAGUCGGCAAGUCAGAUCUGUAACUUCUGCAUGAGUUUUGGCUUUAAGAGCUGCAUUGGUCUGGCUGUGGCGUGAAGUGGGGCUGGGUGUGUGCCAUGGCUGCAAGAGAAAUCCCCCCACCCCAACUCUGGACACGAGUCGGCCCCUUCUGUGGAUUGUCCCAGCUCUGUUGGUGAACUCUCUCUGUUCCCCUCGCAGGGAUUGGGGCCAGCGUGUUGCCUCAGACAACGCCUAUGAGCUGACUCAGAAUUGGUGUGGACAAGGGGAAUCCAAUUGUUUAAUUUCAACAAAGCAUCACAAAGGCCCUUAGCAGGUGUUGAUGCAAUGUGAUUUAUGACCAGUGUUAUGAAUAUUAAAGUGUAGAAUUCAAUGAAGCGCAGGUAAACUGCAGGAGUAGCUAUAACUGUCUUAAGGUAGCCAAAUCCUCAUCAUCAAAUUGGUGACACAAAUAAAUGGAUGAAUGAGAUUCCCACUGUCCCUACCUAUUAUCUAGCAAAGCCACAGCCAAGGGUAAAGGACUGCCAGAGUCAGUGGGGGAAGGAGACCCAGUUGAACUUGACUCUAGUCUGGUGCUGUGAAGAGACGUGAGAGGUGUAGGAUAAGUUGGAGGCCCUCAGGCCACCUCUGAAGUAACACUACUCAUAGUUUUUUAUUACUUACCCGUGAGACUGAGGGCAAGCCCUUGGGUUUCUGGCUUCUGUCUGCAAGGUCCCGGUGACAACAAGGGCAUGACCCACUCUGGGUAAGGUGGCAGGUUGGGGGUUUGACUGGGGAGGUACACCUGUCAAAUGAUAGCACAAGUUUGCUAAGGCAAGUUCAAGGAGGCAGAAACCUCUGGUGUAGCCGAAGGGCAAAAGCUUGCUUGAUCUCAAUGUUCUGUAAGAAUACAGACCAAGAAAGUGGGGCCCUACGGUCCUACUGGUGUUUUGGGUUUCAAUCAGGAGAUGUCCAAAAAGUUACCAAAGGGAGAACUGGCUUGUGGUGGCCAAGUGUCAUAGUGAUGUUGCUUUUUGAUCCUUCGAUAUCGGCUCUUCCGAUCAUUAUGAAGCAGAAUUCACCAAGUUUUGCAUUGUUCACCCACUAAAAGGGAAUGUGAGCUGCGUCUUGACUGUCAUGAGACAGAUUAUUUUUACCCUCUUGAUGAAGUGUUGUCGCAAUGGUAAUCCUGCUCAAUACAAGAGGAACCACAGGUUCAGACUUGGUGUAUGUGCUUGGCUGAGGAGGCAAUGGGGUGAAGCUACCAUCUGUGGGAUUGUAACUGAUCUCCUCUUAGUCACAACCCCCCUAAACUGUAACAAUACUGCAGUGCCUUGAAGCCUCGGUUGGUGUAGUAGGCCUCUGGGCCAGUGCAUAGAGCUGCUUGCCUCGGGACUCGAGUCUGGAUAGAAGUGGGCCGCCUCUCUCACCCAUAGUGCACGGCAUGCUCGGGGGGAACCUGGUGUUAAAUCAUUUGUUGAUGACCUGAUUCUGGGUUAAGGUUUUUAAAGUAGCAGAGCAGCUACCUCACUGCGGUCUAUUGAAAUUCAUCCUAUGAGCCAAGCUUUCAAAGGCACCACUACA